GUAGUAGUGUGUUUCUCGUGUCAUCAGCCUCACUCAUUGUGUCUCCCUGCUUGUUAUUGGAUUUUGUAUGUUGGAUUUCUGUUGGACAACCUUUGUUUUUGGACUCUGUCAUCAGCCACUCAGUUUGCAAACAGUCUUGUUUACGAUCAAACAUUUGAGGUCUGGAGGGUCAUGAUCUAGGUCGAGGACUGUAGAAGAGACACCAGGUCAUUGUUGUGUCAUAAUAACUUCAACUUGUACGACGAGAGACUGAAGGAAAGUCUCAACAGGACGAGAAAAAGGAUUAUCAUCUGUGCCCUCGGUAGCACAGAGGAUGAGACAGCAUCCCUCUUCUGCUUUUGAAUUGCAUUGUAAGUGUGUAUUUGUGUGUAAUCAUGCGCUUGUGUGUCUAUAUUUGCAUUUGAGAAUGAAUAUGUCUGCAUGCUUCCAUGUAAGUAAAAUCAUUGGUCCUCG
This is a long non-coding RNA of Micropterus dolomieu (smallmouth bass), 453 nucleotides long. RefSeq lists it as uncharacterized. The transcript has 3 exons. Lineage: Eukaryota; Metazoa; Chordata; Actinopteri; Centrarchiformes; Centrarchidae. The record is from RefSeq and is a predicted model, not a curated record.